Oncorhynchus tshawytscha (Chinook salmon) is the source of this 342-nucleotide long non-coding RNA. The record is from Ensembl. Lineage: Eukaryota; Metazoa; Chordata; Actinopteri; Salmoniformes; Salmonidae.
GUUAGGGUUAGACUGGGUUAGACUGUGGUGUUAGGGUUAGACUGGGUUAGACUGUGGAGUUAGGGUUAGACUGGGUUAGACUGUGGUGGUAGGGUUAGACUGGGUUAGACUGUGGAGUUAGGGUUAGACUGGGUUAGACUAUGGAGUUAGGGUUAGACUGGGUUAGACUAUGGUGUUAGGGUUAGACUGGGUUAGGCUUAGACUGGGUUAGACUGUGGAGUUAGGGUUAGACUGUGGAGUUAGGGUUAGACUGGGUUAGACUGUGGAGUUAGGGUUAGACUGGGUUAGACUAUGGAGUUAGGGUUAGACUGGGUUAGACUGUGGUGUUAGGGUUAGACUGGG